Molecule: ribosomal RNA, 494 nt
Filed under: uncultured bacterium
Lineage: Bacteria
Description: partial 16S ribosomal RNA
Rfam family: Bacterial small subunit ribosomal RNA
Source: RNAcentral
GACGAACGCUGGCGGCGUGCUUAACACAUGCAAGUCGAACGGAACGGCCUGCUUUCCCUUGUGGAUUGCGGGUACUCGAGUGGCGAACGGGUGAGUAACCCGUGUGUGUUCUGCCCCCAACUUGGGUAUAAGCCUGGGAUACUGGGUCUAAUUCCCGAUAGGCCUGCAGGGUGGUGCCUUUGGUGGAAAUCGAUUUUCUAGUGGUUGGGGAUAGGCUCGCGGCCUAUCAGCUUGUUGGUGGGGUAAUGGCCUACCAAGGCGGCGACAGGAAGCCAGCCUGAGAGGGGGGAGAGCGGAAGUGAGACUGAGAAACGACCCAGACACCUAGGGGAGGCAGAGGUGGGGAAGGGAGGACGAAGGGGGGAAGACUGAAGCAGCGACGCAGGGUGGGGGAAGACGGGCUGCGGGAGGUAAGCAGCUUUCGAGGGAGAGAAGGCCACCUGGUUGGAAGGGUAGUGACGGUAGCGGGAGAAGAAGCACCGGCUAACUACGUG